CCCAUCUAAUUUGUUGUUUCCACCUUCCUGGCAAAUGAUAUGGAUCACCAUGAUGUCAACCAUUGUAAUUGCUUAUUCCCAAUUCUUCGCGACAUGAAAAAUCCGCUUGUUUUUAGUAGAAUCUAUAUUAAAUGACAAGUCAAAUUCAUCUGGUGUUCAUAAAGAUCUACGAAAGGACAGAAAUUUCUUUUAUAAAUCGUCAAAUUGUAAGCGGAUCAACUAUGGUAAAGUGCCACACUGCCCUCGGUGGGAGGAAUUUUACCACUCCUUUGUUGUCCUCAAUCCAGAUCAACCACUUAUGCGAGACGCAAUAUUUUUCUCCUUAUACCCAAAACCUGUCUCAAUUCUCAUAAGCGAUAGUUGUGCAUAUAGAAUGAAGGAUUAUGCUUAUCUAACAAUGAUUGAACAAUUGCAUUGUUCAGAUAAACACAAAAGUCAUUGUGUUUGUAUAAACGAUGAUGUUGUAUGUGCAUAAGGGUCACCUCACAAAAAUGUCUACUUUUUUGGUUGUCUCGUAAAAAUUCAUCAGGCUAUGUUUUAUCAAAAUCAAGUAUAAAUUGUUGGCUGCACUCCGAAUAAUGAUGAUUCUGAUCUGAACAAUUAUUGUAUGUGAAUUCAUCAAAUGGACAAAAAGAUUAUCGUAUUUAUAACACAUGUGGUAUGCAUGUGGCACAAGGGCUACCGCAAAAACACACUAUGAUUUUGAGGGACUUGUUGGAAUCUGUGAACCAUUGUUUCUCUUUGGUGUUGUUUUCGCAAUAAAAUGGAUAUGAAGAAAUAACUGAUGAUAAUUUAUCAUGACCUUGCUUUAGCCCUAUAAUAUGAUGCUUCGUUUUCGUUGAAAUGAAAGAUGACACUUUUCACUUUUACAGUUCUUGUUAAGAAAGUUUAGGAUAUGAACACUUGCCAUACCUGCUUAGCAUAAACUGCAAACUCGGAGAUUGCUCUAGCUCUAGCUCUAGCUCAUAAGCUUUUGGUUCUUGGCACGACACAAUAACCUUCUUAUGAACACCAAAAUCAUAAGGUAGACAUGAAUGUGUAUCUUGGUUGUCGUCGAAUAUAGGACAAUGAUGAGAAUGCGAGAGUACUUGCUUGCAGAGAUAUCUGUUUUGUGGUGCAUGCCAAGUUUGUUAAUUAUUUUUCUGCUUGUUUUAGAGGAAGGGUAACUACCAUCAGGAAGAAAGUAAACUUGCUUCUUGUUAGUAAAUCAUUCUAUUUUUGGAAGAAGAUAAACUUGUUCUUUUUUGAUUCCUUAUUAAUUAAUUCUUUCCUUUAUUCUUUAUCAUUUUCUAGUAAGUAAAUAUUAUGGCUUGCGUACCCUAAACCCUAAUCUUUUUUCAUUUUCUUUUAAUGGACAAAGUUGUAUAUAUAUGUUGGUUAACUAUUUGAAUAAUGUGUGGAAUAUUUUUAUGGUAAUUGACUUCUUGGUAUCUGAGCCAAAAAAAAAAUUCCUCUAUGUUUCUUUCUUUCUCUUCAUUUCUCUUAUAAUAAUGAGUUCGGAGACUAGCAUGGAUAAGAAUGUGUCUUCAUCUAGCACAUCCAAACAAGUGAAUUCGUCUGUGAUCACUCAACCUUUUGGAGAAGGAUCAUUGUUGAAGAUCACAAGCCAUAAGUUGGAUUGCAAGAACUUUCUUCAAUGGUCUCAAUCUGUCUUAUUGGUGAUCAAAGGAAGGCGGAAACUUGGCUACAUCACUAGUGAGAUUCAAUGUUCAAGCAUAGAGGACCCAAGUUCCCAAGUGGGGAACUCAAUAACUCACUUGUUAUGGCAUGGUUGAUCAACUCAAUGGAGCCACAUAUUAGUCGUACCUAUUUAUUCUUACGAACUGCCAAAGAAAUUUGCGGUUGUGAAGGAGAAUUAUUCAAAUCUCGAAAACUCAUCACAAGUUUUCGAGAUAAAGAAUAAACUCAAGGAUAUUCAACAAGAUUGGGGUGAUUUUGAAGAUAACAAGAAGUUUAAAAAGCAUCUAGAAAAAGAAUGCUUGUAUGAGUUUCUAGAUGGACUCAAUAAAGAACUUGACGAGGUUUGUGGACGAAUUCAUGGUUGAAGACCUCUCCCUCCAAUUGACCAAGCAUUUGCAGAAGUGCGACGUGAAGCAAGUAGGCGUCAAGUCAAGCUUGGUGUUAAAAAGGGCUCAUAUGAAAGUCCUAUCACUACUAGAUCCAUAGACAACGAUGGAUUUGUUGUAAAAAAAAAAUGUUAGCCGAUUCAUUGGAGAUCAGAAAUCCAAUUUACGUCUGUAAUGUUCUCACUGCAAUAAACUUAGUCAUACCCAAGAAAUGUGUUGGGAUCUCUAUGGAAACCUACAGAUGCAAAACAAUUGAAACAGAGUCAAUCCAAAGUCUUCCAAACAACUAUAGAAAAGGAGUCUGACGAAUCAACCAACUCAGGGGUUUUCUUAAAGAAGGAUCGAUUUGAGCAGCUGUGUAAACUAUUAAAUCAUUAAAAUAUACGUAAUUCCCAUACUGUAGCAAGCAAUUUUGCUCAUCAAGGUACUGCUCUUAGUAUACAAAAACAAAAUCACUGGAUAUUUGAUUCUGGUGCAUCCGAUCAUAUGAUAGGUAAUCGAUCUCUAUUUUACACUACACCAUGUGAUAAAAUCUCUCGGGUAAAAAUAGCAAAUGGAACUGUCUCCCCUAUUGUUGGAAAAUAGUCUGCCCAUUUAUCAGAUUCUCUUAUUUUGCAUUCUAUACUUUAUGUUCCCAAGAUAGCGUACAAUUUGGUGUCGAUUAGCAAGCUAACUUAUGAUCUUAAUUGCACUGCUGAGUUUUCUGCCAAAUCUUGUCAAAUACAGGAGCAGGGAAUAGAGAGGAUGAUUGGCAUUGC
Molecule: long non-coding RNA, 2824 nt
Organism: Zingiber officinale
Lineage: Eukaryota; Viridiplantae; Streptophyta; Magnoliopsida; Zingiberales; Zingiberaceae
Exons: 2
Source: RefSeq, a predicted model, not a curated record